Molecule: ribosomal RNA, 440 nt
Filed under: uncultured bacterium
Lineage: Bacteria
Description: bacterial SSU rRNA
Rfam family: Bacterial small subunit ribosomal RNA
Source: RNAcentral
CCUACGGGUGGCUGCAGUCGAGGAUCUUCGGCAAUGAGCGCAAGCUUGACCGAGCGACGCCGCGUGCGGGAUGAAGGCCUUCGGGUUGUAAACCGCUGUCGUGGGGGAGGAAAGCCGCAAGGCUUGACCUAUCCCAGGAGGAAGCACGGGCUAAGUUCGUGCCAGCAGCCGCGGUAAGACGAACCGUGCAAACGUUGUUCGGAAUCACUGGGCUUAAAGGGCGCGUAGGCGGCAAAGCAAGUCGGGGGUGAAAUCUUUCGGCUCAACCGGAAAAGGGCCUUCGAUACUGCUUUGCUCGAGGAAGAUAGGGGCCACGGGAACGACCAGUGGAGCGGUGAAAUGCGUUGAGAUUGGUAGGAACGCCGGUGGCGAAAGCGCGUGGCUGGAUCUUCCCUGACGCUGAGGCGCGAAAGCUAGGGGAGCAAACGGGAUUAGAUACC